AGCAGAAAGGUAGUGUGAAUGAAUAUUAAGAAAGGUUAAGGAUUUGAAGGCUCUAAUGCUUUAAAAGAAUCCAGAUUUGACUAAUCAUUACUUUCUCUCUAGUUUUAUUGGUCGGUUAAAGAAAGAAAUCAGAUCUAUGGUAAAAGUGUUGAAUCUUGGGAGUUUGGAAGAAGCUUUUGAGAAAGCGAUGUUGCAUGAAAUAUCUCUAGAGGCUUUAUUCAAGAGCACCAAAAAUGAUCAUAAGUCAUAUUAUAAUGUUCUUGGGCCUAAGUCUCCCAACAUCACUUCUCUUAAAAGCAACAGUGAUGUAGACAAC
RNAcentral lists this long non-coding RNA (316 nucleotides) under Elaeis guineensis (African oil palm). Its description in RNAcentral is "long non-coding RNA (EGUI_LNC027805)". Lineage: Eukaryota; Viridiplantae; Streptophyta; Magnoliopsida; Arecales; Arecaceae. The record is from RNAcentral.